GCCUUUCGAUUGCCAACACAUCCAAUCAUUGGUGUCACGGUCAAACCGUGACACUCUGUACAUUGUAUCGGGGCCAAUUGUGAUUUCAGAGAGGUAUGCGUAAAUCGUGACACAUUAUGCUUAGUGUACAAGGUGUUAUUUUUUUUACAACAUAUUAACAUCUUCCUGCAUUUCCUUCUUCAAAGGAAAACAUUCUGCAAAUUAGAGUUGGUUGUGUCUCGCUCUCCUGCAGAACUUCCCUUAGCUGUAAGUGCCCUGAAUAUCACACUUUUGAAUCAAAUCACAAAAAAACUGUUUUACUCACUGUCAACAGACCAACAUGAAUGUUUUCAUAGUGAAUUUAUGUUGUCAUUAAAUCACUAAGGUCUGAAGAAGACCGAUUGCAGGACAGAAAACGGUGACGAGUGCAAGGAGGGCUACGGACGCUGGGAAAUUGACAGAACUGGAUACCGGGAACAGGGUUGCUUGUUAUGGGCCAGAAAAAUACCCUGAUACUUGCCAUUGUUAAACAUUUAUGGAAGCUUAAGGAAUGUAUUUGGCUAGGCUAAAACUUUUUUUUUUUUCUUUGCAGAUCAAAAUUUUUUUGCCUGGGGUGAAAAUAAAAAUCAUUGAUGCAAAGUC
Long non-coding RNA from Gadus macrocephalus (Pacific cod), 621 nucleotides. RefSeq lists it as uncharacterized. The record is from RefSeq and is a predicted model, not a curated record. The transcript is spliced from 2 exons. Lineage: Eukaryota; Metazoa; Chordata; Actinopteri; Gadiformes; Gadidae.